RNAcentral lists this ribosomal RNA (468 nucleotides) under uncultured bacterium. Its description in RNAcentral is "partial 16S ribosomal RNA". It matches the Rfam family "Bacterial small subunit ribosomal RNA", at positions 28 to 507 of the family's 1533-position model. The record is from RNAcentral.
GACGAACGCUGGAGGCGUGCUUAACACAUGCAAGUCGAACGGAAAGGCCCUGCUUUUGUGGGGUGCUCGAGUGGCGAACGGGUGAGUAACACGUGAGUAACCUGCCCUUGACUUUGGGAUAACUUCAGGAAACUGGGGCUAAUACCGGAUAGGAGCUCCUGCUGCAUGGUGGGGGUUGGAAAGUUUCGGCGGUUGGGGAUGGACUCGCGGCUUAUCAGCUUGUUGGUGGGGUAGUGGCUUACCAAGGCUUUGACGGGUAGCCGGCCUGAGAGGGUGACCGGCCACAUUGGGACUGAGAUACGGCCCAGACUCCUACGGGAGGCAGCAGUGGGGAAUAUUGCACAAUGGGCGGAAGCCUGAUGCAGCAACGCCGCGUGCGGGAUGACGGCCUUCGGGUUGUAAACCGCUUUCGCCUGUGACGAAGCGUGAGUGACGGUAAUGGGUAAAGAAGCACCGGCUAACUACGGG